RNAcentral lists this long non-coding RNA (4255 nucleotides) under Canis lupus familiaris (dog). RNAcentral's name for it is "lncRNA (ENSCAFG00000050331.1)". Lineage: Eukaryota; Metazoa; Chordata; Mammalia; Carnivora; Canidae. The record is from RNAcentral.
UUCCUUUCUAAAAAAUAUGGAGCACUUUACAAAUUUGCAUGUCAUCCCCCCCCACACACACGCAGGGGCCAUGCUAAUCUUCUGUAUGUCAUUCCAGAAAUCUGCACUUAAAAAAAAAAUUAUGGAAGAUCUAUCAACAGAAUCAACCACUCUGUUGUAUCUGAGUAGUGCACAAAUACACAGUUCAGAUUUUUUUAAUGUGCUAUCCUUAUUUAAAAAAAAAAUUUAAAUCCCCGUACAAUUAACAAUCAGCGUUAUAUGAGUUUCAGGUGUCACACUAUCUUUUGUUUUUUAAGGAAAAGAGAAGGAGUCUUAGGUCUAUUUUUUUUUUCAAGAAUUAAAAAGUAGUUUGCAAGUGGAAGGUUUCCUCUUACUUCUAAUAGGCCGAUUAGAAUGUCACCUAAUGAUACUUACCACAGAGUGGGUUUUCCAGAGGCAGAUACUGAAAUGAAGUCUGGGGUCCACGAUGUCUACUAGGCAUCAACAGCAGUGAAAGCAUGUGGGAAGAACUGGGUAGAGGGGAAGAAGAGCUGCAGGCCUCACAAAGCCCCCAGACUGGUGGGCAGCUAUAGAGGAAGCAGGGCCUAUUAAAGUUGUGCCUCAGUGGCCUGAAAUGCUGGGCCCUCAUACCCUACUUGCAGAUGCACGCUGCCCACGAUGGGCAUGAUCUCAGCCCCAGCUGCUGUUUGCGACCCACAGGCCCUGAAGGGGGGCCAGCAGCUGGGAGCCGUGUGGCGAUGGACUGCCCCAUAGCUGAAGAGUGGAUCUUCCUCGAGGCGGGGAUGGGAGGCCCAUCUCUGGGUCUACCUUCCCAGGGACUUGUGAUAGUUAAAGGCAAAAAAGCACGUAUCUCAUUAUGGAGAAACACAUUUGGUAAACUGAUCAUGGGAUUGGCUGUGCCGUGCUCAAAAAUUAUUUUCACAUCCACACCUCCAUGUACUUGGAAACAUCCUCUUGUCAACCUGCUGACUUUGUCUCCUUUGGCUUUGGAUCUUGACUCCACCUCUCUGCUUAACCCCUCUGAUUCACCACUUCAGUGUGGGCUGUUGCAAAACUGCUCGCAGUCACCUCACCCAAACAGGAGGUAGAAAGCCGCAGAUGACCAGACAGGUUCUGGAGCAUCCCCCUCCCCACCGCCCAGGGCCCCAGCUGUCAGGAACAGGCUGUUGGAUGUGCACCGCUCCAAGGCCCGGCAAGUCUGAGAACUGAGCAAAGCCAAAGCAAGUGUGCCCUCAGUUGGAAGUGGCUCCAGAGGUCACUGAGCCAACCACCCAUUCACCAGUUGUUUCUGCUUGCAACCCUGAUCUUCCUGAGGGGGACACACACCCCCUUUCCCAGGUCACAUGGGUCAGUGAGGCUGACCAACCCUGAAGGCCACAGAGGUGGGCCUCUGGCUCAGGUCUGGCCAGUCAGACGGUCUGGAUGCAGCAACUCGACCCCGCCAGGGCAAUAAAACUCUCUUCCAAGACUCAUUAUUGAAAGGGGUGCUUUCUACCUGUGGGCAACGCUCUGUGGAAGGGCACGUGAAACCCCAAUUCAGCCCUGCCUGAAAUGGACAUUCUGGCCGCAGGAGCUGGCAGGUUCCUUUCUAUGGCUCAACUGGUUUGUAAUGGGAUUUUCCUUUUGCACCCAAAAGGGUCUGAGCUACUACAAAACCUAUCAGAGUCUCCUUACCAAGUGUGGGUGCAGUUGAUUGAUGGGAGAACUUACCACUUGCGCUUGUACCAAAUAAAAAAGCCUCCUUGUACGUUCACCCUUCACUUUGCCCCACGGGGCUGUGUCAGGCAGAGGCAUUCAUCAAACGCUGUACCUACGUUGGUGCUUCUCACACUUGGCAGCACAUCAGAAAUCAGCUGGGAAACUGAAAAUUGGAGAUUGCUGGGCUGCACCAUGGGGCCACAGAAUCAGAAUUUCUGGGUGUAUUUUUAAAAAGCUUCGUAGACAGUUUUAAGCUCUGAUUUAAAAGUCACUGGUCUCCUAACGCCACAUAAUUGUUCUAUUAAAUGUAAUAAACUGGCCCCGUUGAAAUACAGCCACGUGCAUGCCUCUACGUUUGUGUCACAUUUUCUACAGAUCUGGUCCUUACGCUCAACAAGGAAACCUGGAAGCUUCCGAAAGAAACAGCAGCAGCUCUGGUGGAGCAAAAUCGGAGUGGACGAACGUGAAGACGUGGAUUUACCAUGAAACUAAUAAAGCUUACGUUUCAUAGCUCCUCAUGCGAAGCACUUGUAAAUGCUUGCACGGCCCUACGUUCUUGUAAAAUGUAUAGGAGUACGAUGUUUUCACCACAAACGGCAGAGGCCACGGACUCCUUCCCACUGCGGCUCCUCCUCAACCAUAGCUCUCCCUGUGUUAGGUCGUGGAGGAGGAGCCAUCGGGGCAUUUGGGAUCAUGACUCAGGAAAUAGAUGGGGUUACAUAUAGUUUUGGUUUAGUGGGAUAUUUAUGUGGUUCACAGACUCUUCUGGGUAUGGUUUAGUUAUUGCCAGCUGCCCUGGGGCAAGAAGGACUGUUGGUAAUGGUCCUACCACCCACUCCUCCGACACAGUCCACCUUGAUAAGUGAAGGUACAGGGUCUGCCCUGACCCUCAUAAUACGCCACAACAUUAGGGACACUGAAGACAAGCUGGUCCAUGAGUGUUAUCAAUUCACAAAGUACCUAAGAUCAGCUUCUGCAACGGCAAACCUCUGAAAUGCCUUGAAAUCCUACAGUUUGUCUAUGACAGACGCUCAAGAGUUUUCCUAAAAUUGAUUAAGAAUCCUAAAAAUGUACCCAUAAUAAUUUGUGAGGCCAAAAGAAAUCUUCCCACACAAUCAAUAAUAAAAAACAUCAUUUCACCCGUAGCAACAAGACAAAACAAAAAAACAUCGUUUCGUCCACCAUGAUGAUUCACCACCCAUCCAUUACUGGACCAACCCAAUCAGAGGAAAGUCUGAUUUCUCCUUUUAUUCUCUCAGGAGAAAGCAGGACAAAAUCACUGUUGCAAGGAUAGGCAAUCAAGCAUACACAGACAGUAAUUUUAGUGAGCAAUGUAUCAGAUAGCUAAAUAUGAAAUACGUUAUUUUCUAAAUUUUGAGAUCCUUCCAGAGUUUGUCAGCUUUAAGUAUUGUGCUGUUACAGUGGUCACUUACAUGAUGAUUCUAAGUGAAUAUUUAAUUUUGCAUCUAAUAAUUUGAAUUAUUUAUAAAGGGCCUCCAAAUCUGUCAAAGCUUCAGGCCCCUAGAUAUUCCCCUGGUGUGACAUGAGCACCCUGCCCCUGCGCGCUGGUAGCGGUUGGGAUAAAGCCUCAUGGAUCUGCCCUUUACGGCUGCCUGAGUCUCCCGAAAACCAAAUCUGCUUAUUAUUAAGUCAGCAAAUGUGCCGCUGAUGGAUUUAAUGACUCUGUAGGAAUGAGUCAGUAAUGACUCUGAAGGAAUCUGUGUGGCCAGACGGAUAAAUUAUACAUCAUUUAAAGCUUUCUGAACGCUUAGUGUUUUGGAAGAAGCCAUUCUUUAAAAGAAAUUAGGAAGGAGAAUGUAUCAUGGCCAGGGAGAGAAAGAGAUAAACAACCAAUAUGAUUAAUCAUGCUGGAUGAAAGGUAAUUUAGCUCUUAUUCUGCUCUAUAGGAAACACUCCAAAUCAUCGUCACUCGAAGGGGUGAUUAAGUAGAUCUCAUCUAACCAAUCUCGUCUGGCCUGGCUCAAUAUAACUUCAGCACCCAUUUGCUCUUCUUCAGCAAGGGCAUUGCUGCAAAUAGGAUGGCAGGCAGGUUCAUACAUACAGCACAUGGAAGAAAUGGCCGAGUUUCGUUACUACAGACACCCCAGGUUUCCACGCAUGCUGACGGUCAGCCCCAGCUUUAGCUCCUCAUACGCGUGAAAGCAGAAGUCAGCUCGUGUGUUGCCUGUCCAAAGCAUCUUAUUUCCUGCACCACUAUGAACAAACUUAAUAUUUACAAUAAAGCAUUUAAAAACUGGUCAUUUAAAGUCUCUGCUCUAGGGGAUCCCUGGGUGGCUCAGCAGUUUAGCACCUGCUUUUGAUCCAGGGCCGAAAAGCAGUCCGUGGGACUCUAGGAUUGCGCCCCACGUGGGGCUCCCUGGAUGGAGCCUGCUUCUCCCUCUGCCUAUGUCUCUGCCCACCCCCCACCGUCUCUCUCAUAGAUAAAUAAAUAAAAAUAAAAUCUUUAAAAAGAAAAAUAAAAUAAAGUCUCUGCUCUGGUCAUACCUUAGAUGCAUGGGACAUUAACAAAGUUUACUAAAAAAAAAAAAAAAAAAAA